This 24-nucleotide microRNA is filed under the name Mus musculus (house mouse). RNAcentral's name for it is "mmu-miR-7004-5p". Lineage: Eukaryota; Metazoa; Chordata; Mammalia; Rodentia; Muridae. The record is from miRBase by way of RNAcentral.
UUCCGUGGAUGAGGCCUGUGCCGU